AGCCGCUGCCAGCCUCCCUUUGGGGUCCGAACGCCAAUUUGCGAAGUGCCGCCUCCUACUGAAACAGUUACGCGGAGACUGAAGUGAAGAGUUAUGCCGAUGGGUCAAGGAGGGACGAGGGACCAGCCGCACCCAGCACACACGACUUUGUGCAUCCACAUCAGUGCUGGCUCCUUUGAAGGGGAGUCACAGGCAUAUGGAGAGCACUAGAAACACCGUGGAAGAAAGAGGCAUGAAGAAGGAAACCCAUUCUCUGUCGAACUCGUGUCAUCCAUGUGCCACCAUGUUUUCAUGACCUCUAAAUUCAUCACUGAAGUUAAUCCUUACCUGACUAACCACUUGGUUUCCCAAUCCCAGAGGUACCUCAUUUCCUGAUUGGGCAAAGCUUGAGCUGUAAUCUUAUUCAGGUCAAAUGGCUGUUCUCUAGUACCAUCAUCUCAAGUGAAACCUCAACAUUACUGCCACAUUAUCUGCUUCAACAGGGGGGAGAUCAAUGGAGUCUUUCAUUAUAUACCUCCUCUGCUCACAGAACUGUGCUGGGAUUGUUGGCUCCUGUCAGAGACUAAAAAUCACUUUAUAAUGCCACUGUGUGAAGGCCAAACAUACAGAAAGUGCAAUAAAACUGCCUGGAAUGGGAGGGAAGGUGAUACCAGAAUACAACUGAACAGCUCAAACUGAGAACACUGCUGUUUUUCCCAGGAUUAUGUCUCAGAGGUGUGAAGAACGAAGCCAGCAGACAAGAGUACUGAGCAACCAGCAAAGCUCUUUUAAUGAGUGAAAGGAGAACACUAAGACUACUCAGGAGGGCUCGGCAGAUGCGUGAGGGUUGUGGGGUCUGUAGUUUAUAUUGCCUACAGAGAAGAGGAAGUCCCACCCUCCCCAGACCAAACAGAGAGCUGAACUAAUGACAUCACAACCCACUCUUGAUUGGCUGAAAGUAAAAUGCUUCAUUUGCAUAGGGCAUAACCAAUCAGAACUGAAGUCUAUCUAAAUAAGUGUAUUUCUGAAUGGCUGAGUUUGAUUGGAGGGUAUUUUUUUAAACUUACAAGGGUUUUGAAAAUUACAAGGGCCCUGAAGCUUCUUGAAACUUACAAGGACCUUGAAACAUACAGAAACCCUGAACUCUAUCUGCCUACAUUCCUCUAUCACCUGCCUCAAUAUGAAUGUAUUACUUUAAUAAACAUUUAAAAAAUAAUAUUAAAAAUUAAAAAUAGAACAUGUUUGUUAUGCUUCAGAAGAUCGGAGACUGAUGAGAAUUAGGCUUGGGGUGGAUUAAUGAUUGUGCAUUGAGUCCCCUAUACAG
Manis pentadactyla (Chinese pangolin) is the source of this 1303-nucleotide long non-coding RNA. RefSeq lists it as uncharacterized. The transcript has 4 exons. NCBI's taxonomy places the organism in Eukaryota, Metazoa, Chordata, Mammalia, Pholidota, Manidae. The record is from RefSeq and is a predicted model, not a curated record.